Molecule: long non-coding RNA, 556 nt
Filed under: Equus caballus (horse)
Lineage: Eukaryota; Metazoa; Chordata; Mammalia; Perissodactyla; Equidae
Description: lncRNA (ENSECAG00000040719.2)
Source: RNAcentral
AGUUCUCCAUCCGCACUGGAAAACCUACCAGGCAUUCCCACAACGCUUUCUGUUUCCUGCAGCCUCCGUUUUUCGAGGAAGCCCUGUCGUGCACGAGAGGUCAGAUUGAUGGGGUGCCCCAGGCUCUGCGAGUUAAGUUGUUGGGCGCGGUGACUAUUACAGGAACGGCGGUGCCUUGAGUUAACUUCGUUAAUGCUCAGCUGGUGAGCACCCAUCGGAAAGUACCCAUCACAGAGGAACUUGGGAGCAAGCAGUGGACAAGAUGAUUCUGCCAGCGAAGGAGAGCCACUCUCCUUCCUCAUGCUCCGGAGCUGCCCACUGGGCUCGUGCGUGGAACUGCCGUGUGGUAGGCAUCGCGACUACAGCUGGGUCACCCGGCCUGACAGCUGCUCUUCCUGUCCAGUGCCUUCCAAGUCGUCUGCUUCCCACUCCUCAAAUAUCCGGGAUCCAGAGCAGGGGUCCUCAAACUACAGCCCUUCGGCCAAUCCAGCUGCCGCCUGAUUGUGUAUGGCCCCUGAGUAAGGAAUGGUUUUAGAAUUUUACAUAAUUUUGUUUA